RNAcentral lists this ribosomal RNA (467 nucleotides) under uncultured bacterium. Its description in RNAcentral is "partial 16S ribosomal RNA". It matches the Rfam family "Bacterial small subunit ribosomal RNA", at positions 28 to 507 of the family's 1533-position model. The record is from RNAcentral.
GACGAACGCUGGCGGCGUGCUUAACACAUGCAAGUCGAACGGAAAGGCCCUGCUUUUGUGGGGUGCUCGAGUGGCGAACGGGUGAGUAACACGUGAGUAACCUGCCCUUGACUUUGGGAUAACUUCAGGAAACUGGGGCUAAUACCGGAUAGGAGCUCCUGCUGCAUGGUGGGGGUUGGAAAGUUUCGGCGGUUGGGGAUGGACUCGCGGCUUAUCAGCUUGUUGGUGGGGUAGUGGCUUACCAAGGCUUUGACGGGUAGCCGGCCUGAGAGGGUGACCGGCCACAUUGGGACUGAGAUACGGCCCAGACUCCUACGGGAGGCAGCAGUGGGGAAUAUUGCAAAAUGGGCGGAAGCCGGAUGCAGCAACGCCGCGUGCGGGAUGACGGCCUUCGGGUUGUAAACCGCUUUCGCCUGUGACGAAGCGUGAGUGACGGUAAUGGGGAAGAAGCACCGGCUAACUACGUG